Molecule: unclassified non-coding RNA, 352 nt
Filed under: soil metagenome
Description: partial contains 5.8S ribosomal RNA, internal transcribed spacer 2, and large subunit ribosomal RNA
Rfam family: 5.8S ribosomal RNA (bases 1-120)
Source: RNAcentral
GAUGAAGAACGCAGCGAAAUGCGAUAAGUAAUGCGAAUUGCAGAAUCCGUGAGUCGUCGAAUCUUUGAACGCACAUUGCGCCCCUUGGUUAUUCCGAAGGGCAUGCCUGUUCGAGCGUCAUUAUCACCCCUCAAGCCCUGGCUUGGUGUUGGACUUUAGUUAUAGCUUUGCCUAUCAACUGGUCUCAAAGAUAGUGACGGCGCCCCAGAGGGAACCGGGUACGAGGAGCUUUUUACUAAGCAUGUAUCUGGGACGACUCUGGGCGACGGUCUUGUUAUACUUUUUACCUAAGUGUUGACCUCGGAUCAGGUAGGAAUACCCGCUGAACUUAAGCAUAUCAAUAAGCGGAGGA